UUAGGACCACAUCUGCUUUGGAAGACUGUAAACUCUAUUUAAAAGACUAUACUCAAAAUUGUAGUUUUAUUGUAGUCAAACUGUUCUUGAAGUCUAAUGAGCUGAUUCAGUUCUGCAAGGUACAGCUCAAUAAUGCCUAAUAAAAGCAUUGCUGUUGACCUUCCAGAGCCUGUACAGGAAUGGAAGCCCUUUUAGUGACAUCCAGCCUGGAGACAAAUCAAACUUCACAGCAUCAGGAAGGCUUCUGAGCAUGUCUCGAUGAAGGCAACGAUAGAAAGCAGUAAACCAGCAAAGAAUCUGCAAGACCUGAAGGUCUCUCAUUCUGAAGGUGAUAGAUAGCCAGGAGGAUAACUGUCUGCUCUGAUCCUGCACCACACAACUAUGCUUGUUCAGUAUGCUGAACCUGCUUAAGUAAGGAAACUUACUUUAUUGUUUGAGAUUUUUAUGAUAUUUUAUUUUCCUGGGUGUAACAGGCAGAUGAGCAUCAUGAGAAACUGGAAAUGACACAUUAGAAAUAUUUCAUAAUGGGAGGGAGGAGCCACUUCUGUAGGUGGUAUAACCUUUAUAUCUCACAUUAUAGCUCAUGAAAUUCAAGUUGAGAUCUCGAACGACCAUUCUCUCACUGUAGCGAGCUACUUGCAGUACAUCCACUUUUGUGAGCACUUACAUUUUCUUUUUGACUGCAGGAGAGCUGAGAUGUUGGUGGCACCUGGCUUUACAAGUGGGAAGAUUCUGUCAGCUGUUCCAUUAAAUACUCCCUGGGCCCUGUGGUGCUGGAGUUGAUGUUCUACCAAGCAGAGGACCGCUGACAGUGCCAGACAGAGAGGGUGGUUGUCCUUGGCAGCUGAGCUGUAAGUAGCUUUUUGUCAAAUCCUCUUGAGAAGGUUCUAUCCUAAAGUUUUUUUUUUUUUUUAAAUUGUUGUUGUUU
Molecule: long non-coding RNA, 928 nt
Filed under: Numida meleagris (helmeted guineafowl)
Lineage: Eukaryota; Metazoa; Chordata; Aves; Galliformes; Numididae
Description: lncRNA (ENSNMEG00000008741.1)
Source: RNAcentral